RNAcentral lists this ribosomal RNA (450 nucleotides) under uncultured bacterium. Its description in RNAcentral is "partial 16S ribosomal RNA". It matches the Rfam family "Bacterial small subunit ribosomal RNA", at positions 354 to 796 of the family's 1533-position model. The record is from RNAcentral.
GUGGGGAAUAUUGGACAAUGGGCGAAAGCCUGAUCCAGCCAUGCCGCGUGUGUGAAGAAGGUCUUCGGAUUGUAAAGCACUUUAAGUUGGGAGGAAGGGCAGUAAGUUAAUACCUUGCUGUUUUGACGUUACCGACAGAAUAAGCACCGGCUAACUUCGUGCCAGCAGCCGCGGUAAUACGAAGGGUGCAAGCGUUCAUCGGAAUUACUGGGCGUAACGCGCGCGUAGGUGGUUUUGUAAGUUGGAGGUGAAAUCCCCGGGAUCAACCUGGGAACUGCCUCCAAAACUGCAUGACUAGAGUACGGUAGAGGGUAGUGGAAUUUCCUGAGUAGCGGUGAAAUGCGUAGAGAUAGGAAGGAACACCAGUGGCGAAGGCAGCCAUCUGGCCUAAUACUGACGCUGAGGUGCGAAAGCGUGGGGAGCAAACAGGAUUAGAUACCCGAGUAGUCC